AGACAUGCGCAGUGCUGCCCCUUUCUAAGGGCAGGGACGAAGGACUGCGGACCUGACAGUUCUUGGGCUUGAGUCCAGCGGCAAGCUCCCUCCUGAGUGUCUGAAACCGUCAGUUCACUGCCUCAUGUGAAAGUACCCAGUUCUUGGUAACCUGACACUUCCCUUUUAAAAGCCACCUUUUCUCUAUCUCUGGCCUGCCACGAUUCUUCCUGUGCUCCAUAGGAGGACCCAUUGGAUCCCCGGGCUGGCUGCAGGGCCCACACCUGGGUUAGACCUCUCACAGGGACGCUGCUGCCACUGUAAUAAAGCGUGCCUACACGCUUCUGAAACUGGUGAAGGCACAACCUCAGUUCUGUGAAAGGCGGACACAGCAGGACAGAAUCUCCGUGGACAUCUGUCUGGAGGAGGAAUUUUACUGCGACAUUUUAAAGAAACAAAUUUAAUCGAUUUCCAAGAAUCUCUGCAGGGACAUUUUUUUGCUCAGUGAGGCCUACUGUUAAAAACCAAAUAUCAGGGAUGGAGCCAAGAAGGCCAAAUAGGAAGAGCUCCAGUCUACAGCUCCCAGCGUGAGUGACACAGAAGAUGGAUGAUUUCUGCAUUUCCAACUGAG
RNAcentral lists this long non-coding RNA (610 nucleotides) under Pongo abelii (Sumatran orangutan). RNAcentral's name for it is "lincRNA". The record is from RNAcentral. Lineage: Eukaryota; Metazoa; Chordata; Mammalia; Primates; Hominidae.